RNAcentral lists this ribosomal RNA (447 nucleotides) under uncultured bacterium. RNAcentral's name for it is "partial 16S ribosomal RNA". It matches the Rfam family "Bacterial small subunit ribosomal RNA", at positions 29 to 523 of the family's 1533-position model. The record is from RNAcentral.
AACGAACGCUGGCGGCAGGCCUAACACAUGCAAGUCGAGCGCCCCGCAAGGGGAGCGGCAGACGGGUGAGUAACGCGUGGGAAUCUACCUAGUGGUACGGAAUAGCCCCGGGAAACUUGGAGUAAUACCGUAUACGCCCGAAAGGGGAAAGAUUUAUCGCCAUUAGAUGAGCCCGCGUUGGAUUAGCUAGUUGGUGGGGUAACGGCCCACCAAGGCGACGAUCCAUAGCUGGUCUGAGAGGAUGAUCAGCCACACUGGGACUGAGACACGGCCCAGACUCCUACGGGAGGCAGCAGUGGGGAAUAUUGGACAAUGGGCGCAAGCCUGAUCCAGCCAUGCCGCGUGAGUGACGAAGGUCUUCGGAUUGUAAAGCUCUUUUGGCGGGGACGAUAAUGACGGUACCCGCAGAAUAAGCCCCGGCUAACUUCGUGCCAGCAGCCGCGGUAA